GAUGAACGCUGGCGGCGUGCCUAAUACAUGCAAGUCGAGCGAACAGACGAGGAGCUUGCUCCUCUGACGUUAGCGGCGGACGGGUGAGUAACACGUGGAUAACCUACCUAUAAGACUGGGAUAACUUCGGGAAACCGGAGCUAAUACCGGAUAAUAUAUUGAACCGCAUGGUUCAAUAGUGAAAGACGGUUUUGCUGUCACUUAUAGAUGGAUCCGCGCCGCAUUAGCUAGUUGGUAAGGUAACGGCUUACCAAGGCAACGAUGCGUAGCCGACCUGAGAGGGUGAUCGGCCACACUGGAACUGAGACACGGUCCAGACUCCUACGGGAGGCAGCAGUAGGGAAUCUUCCGCAAUGGGCGAAAGCCUGACGGAGCAACGCCGCGUGAGUGAUGAAGGUCUUCGGAUCGUAAAACUCUGUUAUUAUGGAAGAACAAAUGUGUAAGUAACUAUGCACGUCUUGACGGUACCUAAUCAGAAAGCCACGGCUAACUACGUG
RNAcentral lists this ribosomal RNA (497 nucleotides) under uncultured bacterium. Its description in RNAcentral is "partial 16S ribosomal RNA". It matches the Rfam family "Bacterial small subunit ribosomal RNA", at positions 28 to 507 of the family's 1533-position model. The record is from RNAcentral.